AAACAAAAGUAACCUGCCCUUGACUUUGGGAUAACUUCAGGAAACUGGGGCUAAUACCGGAUAGGAGCUCCUGCUGCAUGGUGGGGGUUGGAAAGUUUCGGCGGUUGGGGAUGGACUCGCGGCUUAUCAGCUUGUUGUUGGGGUAGUGGCUUACCAAGGAUUUGACGGGUAGCCGGCCUGAGAGGGUUACCGGCCACAUUGGGACUGAGAUACGGCCCAGACUCCUACGGGAGGCAGGAGUGGGGAAUAUUGCACAAUGGGCGGAAGCCUGAUGCUGCAACGCAGCGUGCGGGAUCACCCCCCUAGAUUUACACUCGUU
RNAcentral lists this ribosomal RNA (319 nucleotides) under uncultured bacterium. RNAcentral describes it as "partial 16S ribosomal RNA". The stretch from base 1 to 286 matches the Rfam family "Bacterial small subunit ribosomal RNA", at positions 113 to 400 of the family's 1533-position model. The record is from RNAcentral.